Molecule: ribosomal RNA, 478 nt
Filed under: uncultured bacterium
Lineage: Bacteria
Description: partial 16S ribosomal RNA
Rfam family: Bacterial small subunit ribosomal RNA
Source: RNAcentral
GAUGAACGCUGGCGGCGUGCCUAACACAUGCAAGUCGAACGGAGUCCAGCCUUUAAGAUCCUCGGGUGAAAGGGGGGAAGACUGAGUGUCGGACGGGUGAGUAACACGUGUGCUACCUGGCUCAUAGAGGGGGAUAACAGAGAGUAAUUCCUGCUAAUACCGCAUAAGCAAACACUGCCGCAUGGCAGAGGGUGAAAAGUGAAUCGGUAUGAGAUGGAGGCGCUACUUAGUAGGCAGUUGGCAGGGUAAGAGGCUACCAAAGAGACGAUCAGUAGCCGAGCUGGGAGGAAGAACCGACACACUGGGGGUGAGACACGGCCCGAACUCCUACGGAAGGCAGCAGUGGGGGAUACUGCACAACGGGGGGAACAAUGAUGCAGCGAGGCCGUGUGAGUGAAGUAGUAGUGAGGUAUGUAAAGCAGUAUCAGAAGGGAAGAUAAUGACGGUACCUAAAUAAGAAGCCCCGGCUAACUACGUG